AACACCAUAACGUAGAGUGCUU
Molecule: small nuclear RNA, 22 nt
Filed under: Arabidopsis thaliana (thale cress)
Lineage: Eukaryota; Viridiplantae; Streptophyta; Magnoliopsida; Brassicales; Brassicaceae
Description: snRNA_18874
Source: RNAcentral